UGGAGGCACAUGACAGUAAAACAGCUAGUCCGGCUGCCUGUUUCUAUCUAAAGAUAUCUGCUUACAUCGCAUGCCUUAUGAAGCAUUGUCGACUCGAUUCAGACAGCAAGAAAGUAAGUGAUGGAUGCUUGGACCUUGCCUGGACCUGAUGUAGACAGCCGAGUACCAGGACAGUGGGUUCUGAUCUCCAAACCACAGCACUUAAACACCACAAGAGCCAAAGUUUGAAGGACCCCAUCACAUUAUCCUUGUCAUUGAAGCAGCAAUGAAAGUUUGGCACUGCUAUAAUGGAGACCUGCAUUUUUAACUGUCUUCAAACAACCAGAGUUUAGGU
Neoarius graeffei (lesser salmon catfish) is the source of this 334-nucleotide long non-coding RNA. RefSeq lists it as uncharacterized. The transcript is spliced from 3 exons. The record is from RefSeq and is a predicted model, not a curated record. Lineage: Eukaryota; Metazoa; Chordata; Actinopteri; Siluriformes; Ariidae.